GUAAAAGCAUUGCGGAAGAGGAGUAGCCUGCCUAGGCGGCACAGCGAGGAGACGGUCGGUGCGAGUCUCCCCCCAAAGCAGGUGAAGGUGGCUUCCAAGCUCCGUCCCCCAAGUCGCAGUAAGGGACGGCGGCUCCCGCCGUUACCGGGUCAGAGCGCGGACCUCCGGUCCGAACUCAGGUGGUACCACGGACGUUUCGUUCGCCCUGAGC
This 211-nucleotide non-coding RNA is filed under the name Oscillospiraceae bacterium. Its description in RNAcentral is "Ruminococcaceae bacterium T-box sequence". It matches the Rfam family "T-box leader". Rfam says of the family: Uncharged tRNA acts as the effector for transcription antitermination of genes in the T-box leader family. T-boxes are found upstream of many aminoacyl-tRNA synthetase genes and some amino acid biosynthetic genes usually in Gram-positive bacteria. Lineage: Bacteria; Bacillati; Bacillota; Clostridia; Eubacteriales; Oscillospiraceae. The record is from RNAcentral.